Molecule: non-coding RNA, 51 nt
Filed under: bovine gut metagenome
Also listed under: 1 other name
Source: RNAcentral
ACGGUGGAAAAAUUUGGCUGCUUGCAACCACUUGAAAAAAUGCUAAAACUG